RNAcentral lists this transfer RNA (72 nucleotides) under Methanosarcinales archaeon. RNAcentral's name for it is "tRNA-Lys". It matches the Rfam family "tRNA". From Rfam's summary of the family: Transfer RNA (tRNA) molecules are approximately 80 nucleotides in length. Their secondary structure includes four short double-helical elements and three loops (D, anti-codon, and T loops). Further hydrogen bonds mediate the characteristic L-shaped molecular structure. tRNAs have two regions of fundamental functional importance: the anti-codon, which is responsible for specific mRNA codon recognition, and the 3' end, to which the tRNAs corresponding amino acid is attached (by aminoacyl-tRNA synthetases). tRNAs cope with the degeneracy of the genetic code in two manners: having more than one tRNA (with a specific anti-codon) for a particular amino acid; and 'wobble' base-pairing, i.e. permitting non-standard base-pairing at the 3rd anti-codon position. The record is from RNAcentral. Lineage: Archaea; Methanobacteriati; Methanobacteriota; Methanomicrobia; Methanosarcinales.
GGGCCCGUAACUCAAUGGUAGAGUAGCAGCCUUUUAAGCUGAAAGUUGUAGGUUCGAGUCCUACCGGGCUCA